AGAGCGAACGCUGGCGGCAGGCUUAACACAUGCAAGUCGAGCGGGCGUAGCAAUACGUCAGCGGCAGACGGGUGAGUAACGCGUGGGAACAUACCUUUUGGUUCGGAACAACACAGGGAAACUUGUGCUAAUACCGGAUAAGCCCUUACGGGGAAAGAUUUAUCGCCGAAAGAUUGGCCCGCGUCUGAUUAGCUAGUUGGUGAGGUAACGGCUCACCAAGGCGACGAUCAGUAGCUGGUCUGAGAGGAUGAUCAGCCACAUUGGGACUGAGACACGGCCCAAACUCCUACGGGAGGCAGCAGUGGGGAAUAUUGGACAAUGGGCGCAAGCCUGAUCCAGCCAUGCCGCGUGAGUGAUGAAGGCCCUAGGGUGUAAAGCUCUUUUGUGCGGGAAGAUAAUGACGGUACCGCAAGAAUAAGCCCCGGCUAACUUCGUGCCAGCAGCCGC
This 447-nucleotide ribosomal RNA is filed under the name uncultured bacterium. Its description in RNAcentral is "SSU rRNA". It matches the Rfam family "Bacterial small subunit ribosomal RNA", at positions 26 to 518 of the family's 1533-position model. The record is from RNAcentral.